Molecule: ribosomal RNA, 439 nt
Filed under: uncultured bacterium
Lineage: Bacteria
Description: partial 16S ribosomal RNA
Rfam family: Bacterial small subunit ribosomal RNA
Source: RNAcentral
CUACGGGCCGCAGCAGUGAGGAAUAUUGCACAAUGGGGGGAACCCUGAUGCAGCAACGCCGCGUGGAGGAUGACGCAUUUCGGUGUGUAAACUCCUUUUAUAUGUCAAGAAAAUGACGGUAGCAUAUGAAUAAGCGCCGGCUAACUCCGUGCCAGCAGCCGCGGUAAUACGGAGGGCGCAAGCGUUACUCGGAAUCACUGGGCGUAAAGGACGCGUAGGCGGGUUGAAAAGUCAGGUGUGAAAGCCUACAGCUUAACUGUAGAACUGCACUUGAAACUCUCAACCUAGAGUAUGGGAGGGGCAGAUGGAAUUAGUGGUGUAGGGGUAAAAUCCGUAGAAAUCACUAGGAAUACCUAAAGCGAAGGCGAUCUGCUGGAACAUUACUGACGCUAAGGCGUGAAAGCGUGGGGAGCAAACAGGAUUAGAUACCCGCGUAGUC